This 497-nucleotide ribosomal RNA is filed under the name uncultured bacterium. Its description in RNAcentral is "partial 16S ribosomal RNA". It matches the Rfam family "Bacterial small subunit ribosomal RNA", at positions 28 to 507 of the family's 1533-position model. The record is from RNAcentral.
GAUGAACGCUGGCGGCGUGCCUAAUACAUGCAAGUCGAGCGAACAGAUGAGGAGCUUGCUCCUCUGACGUUAGCGGCGGACGGGUGAGUAACACGUGGAUAACCUACCUAUAAGACUGGGAUAACUUCGGGGAACCGGAGCUAAUACCGGAUAAUAUAUUGAACCGCAUGGUUCAAUAGUGAAAGACGGUUUUGCUGUCACUUAUAGAUGGAUCCGCGCCGCAUUAGCUAGUUGGUAAGGUAACGGCUUACCAAGGCAACGAUGCGUAGCCGACCUGAGAGGGUGAUCGGCCACACUGGAACUGAGACACGGUCCAGACUCCUACGGGAGGCAGCAGUAGGGAAUCUUCCGCAAUGGGCGAAAGCCUGACGGAGCAACGCCGCGUGAGUGAUGAAGGUCUUCGGAUCGUAAAACUCUGUUAUUAGGGAAGAACAAAUGUGUAAGUAACUAUGCACGUCUUGACGGUACCUAAUCAGAAAGCCACGGCUAACUACGUG